UUAAAAUGUGAAGGUCUCCUUUAUAUAGUAGGGGAUCUUCCUUGAAGUAAUCAAAGAAAAAGUACAAAAGUAGGUGGCUUCUUCUUAACGAAGAAGUUAGGUUCUAAAUGACAUCGCCUUCAUCCCCACGCCCGGGUCGUGCCCUCAAUCUAGUUGGCGCCUACUCAUUGGGCGUACCCCUUGGCAUGGGGACGUUGAUGGCCAAAUUUGACCUUAUACAAUUAAUCCCUCCGUUCGUUAGAGACAUGCCCGAUGGUCGUCUUCAAUGGACGGAACGGCAAGCCUCGUCUUAAGGGAGUUUGGCCGCAUCCUUGGGCGUUAGCUCGAAUGAGACAAGUGCAUGACACGGUUGAGCCGUUGACAUAUGGCCUCUUCUCUGAAUGACGUCACUGGUCGCAUGCGCCAUC
This 407-nucleotide long non-coding RNA is filed under the name Nicotiana benthamiana. RNAcentral describes it as "long non-coding RNA (NBEN_LNC024492)". Lineage: Eukaryota; Viridiplantae; Streptophyta; Magnoliopsida; Solanales; Solanaceae. The record is from RNAcentral.